Molecule: ribosomal RNA, 253 nt
Filed under: uncultured bacterium
Lineage: Bacteria
Description: partial 16S ribosomal RNA
Rfam family: Bacterial small subunit ribosomal RNA
Source: RNAcentral
UACAGAGGUCUCAAGCGUUGUUCGGAUUCAUUGGGCGUAAAGGGUGCGUAGGCGGCGCGGUAAGUCGGGUGUGAAAUCUCGGAGCUUAACUCCGAAACUGCAUUCGAUACUGCCGUGCUUGAGGACUGGAGAGGAGACUGGAAUUCCUGGUGUAGCGGUGAAAUGCGCAGAUAUCAGGAGGAACACCGGUGGCGAAGGCGGGUCUCUGGGACGUUACUGACACUGAGGCGCGAAAGCGUGGGGAGCGAACAGG